CGGCAAGCAAUGCCGAAUCCGCGCUACCGACGUGGAACGGGGGAACCACAGGGCCAGGACGGCCCGGGGGCGAAUCGGACAUCCCGUCCGUAGCGCGAUCUCUUUCAGCGCGAGCCCGUCAGCUAACCCCGUAGGCCGACGAAGGAGAAUUG
RNAcentral lists this small RNA (152 nucleotides) under Solirubrobacterales bacterium. Its description in RNAcentral is "c-di-AMP sequence". It matches the Rfam family "c-di-AMP riboswitch aptamer (ydaO/yuaA leader)". From Rfam's summary of the family: This family represents a conserved RNA structure found upstream of the ydaO and yuaA genes in Bacillus subtilis and related genes in other bacteria. The ydaO/yuaA element is thought to act as a genetic "off" switch for the ydaO and yuaA genes in its native state. It is believed that the element may be triggered during osmotic shock leading to activation of ydaO, a predicted amino acid transporter gene, and members of the yuaA-yubG operon which code for KtrA and KtrB K+ transporters. Lineage: Bacteria; Bacillati; Actinomycetota; Thermoleophilia; Solirubrobacterales. The record is from RNAcentral.